Molecule: ribosomal RNA, 497 nt
Filed under: uncultured bacterium
Lineage: Bacteria
Description: partial 16S ribosomal RNA
Rfam family: Bacterial small subunit ribosomal RNA
Source: RNAcentral
GAUGAACGCUGGCGGCGUGCCUAAUACAUGCAAGUCGAGCGAACAGACGAGGAGCUUGCUCCUCUGACGUUAGCGGCGGACGGGUGAGUAACACGUGGAUAACCUACCUAUAAGACUGGGAUAACUUCGGGAAACCGGAGCUAAUACCGGAUAAUAUAUUGAACCGCAUGGUUCAAUAGUGAAAGACGGUUUUGCUGUCACUUAUCGAUGGAUCCGCGCCGCAUUAGCUAGUUGGUAAGGUAACGGCUUACCAAGGCAACGAUGCGUAGCCGACCUGAGAGGGUGAUCGGCCACACGGGAACUGAGACACGGUCCAGACGCCUACGGGAGGCAGCAGUAGGGAAUCUUCCGCAAUGGGCGAAAGCCUGACGGAGCAACGCCGCGUGAGUGAUGAAGGUCUUCGGAUCGUAAAACUCUGUUAUUAGGGAAGAACAAAUGUGUAAGUAACUAUGCACGUCUUGACGGUACCUAAUCAGAAAGCCACGGCUAACUACGUG